GCUGUGAUGGCCGAGUGGUCAAGGCGUUGGACUCGAAAUCCAAUGGGGGCUCCCCGCGCAGGUUCAAAUCCUGCUCACAGCG
This 82-nucleotide transfer RNA is filed under the name Procavia capensis (Cape rock hyrax). RNAcentral's name for it is "tRNA-Ser (CGA) (tRNA-Ser-CGA-4-1)". It matches the Rfam family "tRNA". From Rfam's summary of the family: Transfer RNA (tRNA) molecules are approximately 80 nucleotides in length. Their secondary structure includes four short double-helical elements and three loops (D, anti-codon, and T loops). Further hydrogen bonds mediate the characteristic L-shaped molecular structure. tRNAs have two regions of fundamental functional importance: the anti-codon, which is responsible for specific mRNA codon recognition, and the 3' end, to which the tRNAs corresponding amino acid is attached (by aminoacyl-tRNA synthetases). tRNAs cope with the degeneracy of the genetic code in two manners: having more than one tRNA (with a specific anti-codon) for a particular amino acid; and 'wobble' base-pairing, i.e. permitting non-standard base-pairing at the 3rd anti-codon position. Lineage: Eukaryota; Metazoa; Chordata; Mammalia; Hyracoidea; Procaviidae. The record is from RNAcentral.